This 301-nucleotide ribosomal RNA is filed under the name uncultured bacterium. RNAcentral describes it as "partial 16S ribosomal RNA". It matches the Rfam family "Bacterial small subunit ribosomal RNA", at positions 509 to 809 of the family's 1533-position model. The record is from RNAcentral.
CAGCCGCCGCGGUAAUACGUAGGUGGCAAGCGUUGUCCGGAAUUAUUGGGCGUAAAGGGCUCGCAGGCGGUUUCUUAAGUCUGAUGUGAAAGCCCCCGGCUCAACCGGGGAGGGUCAUUGGAAACUGGGAAACUUGAGUGCAGAAGAGGAGAGUGGAAUUCCACGUGUAGCGGUGAAAUGCGUAGAGAUGUGGAGGAACACCAGUGGCGAAGGCGACUCUCUGGUCUGUAACUGACGCUGAGGAGCGAAAGCGUGGGGAGCGAACAGGAUUAGAGACCCCUGUAGUCCCUGUCUCUUAUAA